CCUACGGGAGGCAGCAGUAGGGAAUAUUGCUCAAUGGGGGAAACCCUGAAGCAGCAACGCCGCGUGGGGGAUGAAGGUUUUCGGAUUGUAAACUCCUUUUGUCAGAGAAGAUAAUGACGGUAUCUAACGAAUAAGCACUGGCUAACUCCGUGCCAGCAGCCGCGGUAAUACGGAGGGUGCAAGCGUUACUCGGAAUCACUGGGCGGAAAGAGCGCGUAGGCGGGAUAGCAAGUCAGAUGUGAAAUCCUAUGGCUUAACCAUAGAACUGCAUUUGAAACUGUUAUUCUAGAGUAUGGGAGAGGUAGGUGGAAUUCUUGGUGUAGGAGUAAAAUCCGUAGAGAUCAAGAGGAAUACUCAUUGCGAAGGCGACCUGCUAGAACAUAACUGACGCUGAUGCGCGAAAGCGUGGGGAGCAAACAGGAUUAGAUACCCCAGUAGUC
This 440-nucleotide ribosomal RNA is filed under the name uncultured bacterium. RNAcentral describes it as "partial 16S ribosomal RNA". It matches the Rfam family "Bacterial small subunit ribosomal RNA", at positions 338 to 795 of the family's 1533-position model. The record is from RNAcentral.